Molecule: long non-coding RNA, 4395 nt
Organism: Prinia subflava (tawny-flanked prinia)
Lineage: Eukaryota; Metazoa; Chordata; Aves; Passeriformes; Cisticolidae
Exons: 4
Source: RefSeq, a predicted model, not a curated record
AAGAGUGCAUGUGAGAAAUAUGAUAAGGAUAAAGAGCAAAGGAGAUGAGAAUAAAAUAUAAGCAAUUUUCUCUUGAACACAAAUUUUUACUAAACUUUAUGAGUUAUUCCUCUACUUGGGAAACCGAUUUCUCAAUUGUUUUUUAAAUCACAGUUUGUGUACAAAAUUAAAAAAUUAUUUUCAUCUCACAUAUGUAUUUUCAUACACUUUUAACAAUCAUGAAAGCAAAGGUUCCUCGGCUUGUCAAAAGAUAGACAUUUCUUCUCUUUAAUUAAUUUUAGCUCCUUUCAACAAGAAGUAAGGGAACUGUUUUACUUUCUUCCACCUUCUUGAUUUAAGUAACUGCCUGGUAAUUCAAUACACAGACCUUUAGCCGGUAAUUCAAUACAAAGAAAUUUUUUUAGCAAAAAAAUUCCUCCCUAAAGCACUGCUUAGUUUGGGUCUAUGAAUUCUGAACACAAUGCCUUGUUGCCUUCACCAGUUCAUUCCCAUGGAAACAUGAAGAGGAGAGUCCUGGACAAGGUGGAAGAAGAGCCCAGGGUUUUGAGCUUGCUGAAUGUCCGGAGAAGAGGAAAAUUAGAGAGCAGUGGCCAUCUGCAGGUCUGUAUUUGCCUGUAACUCAAGCUGAUGCUGCAAAUGAGGCUGAGCUGGUAGCAGCAAGGUCCAGCUCACAAAGUGUACAUAGGAUCUCUCUCUGAACCUCUUCCUUCCUGAACCCUUUUGGAGCACUUUUGACACGCACUGUAAUAUUAAUAAAUAAUAACUUAAAAAGUAAGACAUCACAUGUCCAAAUCCUGCCAACACGAGUGCAAGCACACAUGACAGACCUGGUCCAGGCACAGGAGGAGGCCAAACCUGGAAGAGUCCUCCCUAUUUACUUCACCAAUAUUGGAAGCCAGAGGGAGAGACAUGAAAAAGGGAGAAAGUGAUUAUGGAAAGACAAGCCAAUAUGUUCCACAAUGCUUCUGCCUUUACAGGCUUGGUGACAUCAGCCAGCUCAUCCAAAACCUCUGUGGAAAGGGUGGGAGAAGUGAACCCUGUCCAGGAAAGCUUCACCUUCAGGUCUAUCUCUUCCCCCCUCUCUACCACACAAGUCAGUCAGUGCUGCAGUCAGAGCUGCCCCAUGACCAGCACAUCUGGCACCCACACGGCUGAAACACCCGUCAGCAAAUUUGCCUCCAAUGCUCCUCAUAAACACAGCCCCUGUGCCCAGCCUCCAAAAGUCAGAGCUGGAAUCAUGCUCCCAUAAACAAGGUUCAGCAGCAGUUAGCAGUCACUCUAAGGGACUAUAAUUAAUCAUUUAUUUAAUCUUAAUCCUUUACAUAGCUGAUGGUAAAAAUGUUUUUUCCCUGCCCACAUAAGUAAGCCACACAGCCUCCUCAUUUAGCUGGGAAGGAAAACCCCCAGACAAAAUCACUUGUGUUUUACUGUAACACAGGUGGGUAUUGUUUUCUGGAAUUCCACAAAGAAAAGAGUAUCUCCCCUUCCACAUUACCAGGAAAAGUUAUUCUGCAAUUCCAUUAGUAAAAACUACACAUUUCACAUUCUUUAUCUGUGGUGUAAGACCCAGAGCAGCUCCCAAGAUACACAAAGAUCUUCGAACAGAUGAAAGAAAGUCACUCUUGCUUGUUUCAACGAGGAUUCCCAUCUGCUCAAAGCAAAUUCUCGCACUUUCAUCGAUGCCAAAACAACCUCCUGCCCCACCCAGGAAAAAACACCUCCAUCUUGUUAAACAAGUUUCAUUUAUAUAUGUUCAGCAUUUAAAGAGCUAUUAAAAAAAUAACUGCUCUGCACAAGUGAUUCUUAAGUGAAAUGUAAUCAUGAAAAUAUACUGGAAACUCAGAUGUGAAGCUGCAACCUAUUCCAGCCACGGAGACACAGAAUAUGCUGGACACCACCACCCCUAGAGAUGCCAUCAGUACUACAGCUCUUCUGUUACGCUUACUAUGGAAAUGAGGGAUUCAGCCCGCAUGGAUACGGCACGGAAACUGAGCUGAUGCAUUCAGUGGAGAAACAGGAGCUUGAAAACUUCAGCACACAAACAGCCUCUAUGGCUCCUAAAUAAACUCUCCCCAAACAAGAGUUCAGCAGAGCAUUUUUCCAUAAUAAAAAUCUCCCAUGUUCCUAAGGUGCCUAGGAUCCCACAGGUACAUCAUGUAUUACUAUUGUUUUUGCUUUAUGUGAUUAAACAUCAUAGAAUGAAAGUUAAUCACUGCUGUAGAGGAAGUUUUUUAUAGGUAUGUAUAUAAGGUCAUUCAUAUGAGUCCUAGCCAACCUCUGAUUUGAGAAGGUAGACUUGAAUACUGGAGGCCUUUACAGUACUUGCCUUGAGCAUCUGCGUUUGCAGAGGUAUUGCUGGAAUAGCCCAUGCUGUGUGAGUGGUAUCAAGGACUUAGCAGAACCAUCUAUACCCUUGAAGUUCUACCAAAGCUGUCAGCUUUCCCAGAUCCCAGCUCUUAUUAAGAGGAACAGCUGAGAAGACAGUGGAGAGACACCUGAUACUCUCUGCUGGAGUCCUAGCCACAGCUACUUACUGUUAAUUAAUCACUGUGCUACAAAGAUAAUCUACAUUCUGUAGCUUUCCCUUUAAAGACUUCUUCUUUGGCCCAAAUACAGACAUUAACACCUUGAGAAAAUACUCAGAAAACGAUCUAUGUGCUGAGGAGGAGGAGCAGAGCAGUGGGGUGGCAAAGUGACCGCUCGCUCCCUGGCAGCUCACACGAGCCUUUGCACAGGCUGACGUCAGGUGUGGUGGAAAAGACCAACUCUGCUGACGCAAGACAUCGGUGACAAUGAAACCCCUAAUAGGGGUUUACUUCUGAGCAACAAAGACAGCUACAUGAAAAGGAACAUAUUAGAGAACAGCCCAUGACAACACACACUGAACCAACUCGCUGUGUUUGGCCGGAUGCACUGGUCCGGGUCCAAGGCAGGACAGCCACAGCUGCUGGACGUGGAUGAGCUGCAGUGACGAGCUCUGGCCACCCCCGUGCCAGCCCAGGAGCCUGCAGCCAGGGUGAAGUCACCGGGCUCACGUCAGGACACGCACUGGAGCUGUGGACAUCCACCUGUUGGGAGCAGUACUGAAACGGGAGCUCACUUCCUCCUCAAAGUGGCAGGUCACAAUAUGCUAUGCAUAUUGCAAAGGUCUGAAAACCAAUGCCUGUGCAAGAUGUAAUCCAGUCCGUUUCAGUGAACCUCGUGGCAAAUCCUCUCACACCAUCGUGUGUGCUUCUUUUGUUACCUGAGCCUGCUCCAGAAAGACAAGAUGAAACAGUCCCUUAAAAACUCAGGAAAGGAGGACCAGCAAAACACUUGGGUGAUUUGUCCCUGGUGGAGAAAGAAGCAAUGACACCGGCACUGGUUUAUUAACAAGUUAGAGACUGCCAUCCACUCUGCUUUCUCCUCCAAACCUGGACUGCAUCUGCCAUACCUUGUUGCUUAAUUGUGAUGACAAUUCUAGUUGUUUCAGUGCCUGAGAACAUGCACUAUAACCCUGAAAUACAUUCAAGAAAGCGUAAAGCUCCAUAAAAGAAGCAAUUGAGGAAAAAUUUAGUAUAGAUGUAAGAGAAAAUUAUUAUUAUCUCUUCUGAUUUGUGCAGCUGCGGUUUCUGAAUUCGACCAAAUAACUUCUUAUCAAACCCAUAAUUUUAGAUUAAGUUGAAGCAUCUAGUAUAUGGAAAAUACUUAAUCUUGGACAAAGAGACCAGAAGAUGAAAAAGCCACUAAAUGCUUGAAUUGAUUGUUUCCAGAUAAAUGAGCAUCAGUUCAAAACAUGAAUGACAUACAAAGCUUCUCUGUCCAUCAUCAACAGCUUCAAUAUUUUUCCUCAUACAAUGAAAUUACCUAUCUGGUACUAAUCAAAUUCUGUUUUGAGCAUAAUUAUAACUGUGUCUGCCAGCCUGCCAAACUCAAAAAAAAAUUGGGAAAAAUGGAAUUUAAGGGCAGAGUAAGUAAUUUUGCCAAGAUAAUUUUGUAUUUCAGAACUGUGAAAUGCUGUGGUCAAAUCCAUGUACAAAUCCAUUUUUCAUUUUCUGUAUUCAUUCUACUAUGCUUAUAAUUAGAAGAUAAAUUCUAAUGGCUUUUAAAUUGUAAAUUGACAUUCACAGAUAAGAAAUACAAAUUAUGCUAUAAUGUGGAAGAAAAACCACUGCAAAAAUUAAAGAAUAAUUUCCAUGUCUAUUUGUUUUGUCCUACAGUUUCUCCUCCAUUAUUUACCUUACACACUCCUACUACCAGACCUUUCCCAUGUCAAGUACAUGUGUUUACACUGAAGAGUAUGACAGCAGUGGCUGACAAUAGUUGGGCUCUAACACUCUUAACCAUCCCAGAUAGAACCACUCCUAGCUGGGUCUAAUGACUGGAGGACCAGGCAAGAAGCUCAAGCGGCUGUUU